RNAcentral lists this ribosomal RNA (253 nucleotides) under uncultured bacterium. RNAcentral's name for it is "partial 16S ribosomal RNA". It matches the Rfam family "Bacterial small subunit ribosomal RNA", at positions 524 to 776 of the family's 1533-position model. The record is from RNAcentral.
UACGUAGGGUGCAAGCGUUAAUCGGAAUUCCUGGGCGUAAAGCGUGCGCAGGCGGUUGUGCAAGACAGGUGUGAAAUCCCCGGGCUUAACCUGGGAACUGCACUUGUGACUGCACAGCUGGAGUACGGCAGAGGGGGAUGGAAUUCCGCGUGUAGCAGUGAAAUGCGUAGAUAUGCGGAGGAACACCGAUGGCGAAGGCAAUCCCCUGGGCCUGCACUGACGCUCAUGCACGAAAGCGUGGGGAGCGAACAGG